GCAUAACGCGAAGAACCUUACCAGGCCUUGACAUGCAGAGAACUUUCCAGAGAUGGAUUGGUGCCUUCGGGAACUCUGACACAGGUGCUGCAUGGCUGUCGUCAGCUCGUGUCGUGAGAUGUUGGGUUAAGUCCCGUAACGAGCGCGAACCCUUGUCCUUAGUUACCAGCACGUCAUGGUGGGCACUCUAAGGAGACUGCCGGUGACAAACCGGAGGAAGGUGGGGAGUGACGUCAAGUCAUCAUGGCCCUUACGGCCUGGGCUACACACGUGCUACAAUGGUCGGUACAGAGGGUUGCCAAGCCGCGAGGUGGAGCUAAUCUCACAAAACCGAUCGUAGUCCGGAUCGCAGUCUGCAACUCGACUGCGUGAAGUCGGAAUCGCUAGUAAUCG
RNAcentral lists this ribosomal RNA (393 nucleotides) under uncultured bacterium. RNAcentral describes it as "bacterial SSU rRNA". It matches the Rfam family "Bacterial small subunit ribosomal RNA", at positions 954 to 1344 of the family's 1533-position model. The record is from RNAcentral.